AUGCUCGCAGACCUCUCCGACUUCCGCGCCGCCCGGAUUGGCCCUUGGAUCAUGGGCGGCGACUUCAACAUGAUCACAUCCGUGGCUGAUAAGAAUAAUGACCGUCUCAACCAGCGCUCCAUGCAGCGUUUCCAUCGCUUCAUGGCCGACACUGAGAUCCGCGAUCUUUACCUACAUGGCAGGCGGUACACCUGGUCCAGCAAGCGGGACCCUCCUACCCUCGUGCGCAUCGAUCGCGUUCUUUGCUCGCCAAGUUGGGAAGUGGCCCAUCCCAACUGCCUCCUCCGAUGCCUUUCCUCCGCCGCCUCGAAUCAUGCGCCGCUGCUCGUCGACUGCUCCUCCCCCCUCCCUGGCCAUAAGCGGUUUCACUUCGAGCGGUUCUGGCCCAAGCUCGAGGGUUUCCACCAGACGGUCGCCGCCGCUUGGCAUGAGCUGGAGCGUGAUUCAGACCCGUUUCGCCGCAUCUUCGCCGGACUCAAAUGCACCGCGCGUUGCCUACAAAGCUGGAGCGCUUAG
This 516-nucleotide ribosomal RNA is filed under the name Triticum aestivum (bread wheat). RNAcentral's name for it is "partial small subunit ribosomal RNA". The record is from RNAcentral. Lineage: Eukaryota; Viridiplantae; Streptophyta; Magnoliopsida; Poales; Poaceae.